GAUGAACGCUGGCGGCGUGCCUAAUACAUGCAAGUCGAGCGAACGGACGAGAAGCUUGCUUCUCUGAUGUUAGCGGCGGACGGGUGAGUAACACGUGGAUAACCUACCUAUAAGACUGGGAUAACUUCGGGAAACCGGAGCUAAUACCGGAUAAUAUUUUGAACCGCAUGGUUCAAAAGUGAAAGACGGUCUUGCUGUCACUUAUAGAUGGAUCCGCGCUGCAUUAGCUAGUUGGUAAGGUAACGGCUUACCAAGGCAACGAUGCAUAGCCGACCUGAGAGGGUGAUCGGCCACACUGGAACUGAGACGCGGUCCAGACUCCUACGGGAGGCAGCAGUAGGGACUCUUCCGCAAUGGGCGAAAGCCUGACGGAGCAACGCCGCGUGAGUGAUGAAGGUCUUCGGCUCGUAAAACUCUGUUAUUAGGGAAGAACAUAUGUGUAAGUAACUGUGCACAUCUUGACGGUACCUAAUCAGAAAGCCACGGCUAACUACGU
This 496-nucleotide ribosomal RNA is filed under the name uncultured bacterium. RNAcentral describes it as "partial 16S ribosomal RNA". It matches the Rfam family "Bacterial small subunit ribosomal RNA", at positions 28 to 506 of the family's 1533-position model. The record is from RNAcentral.